GAUGAACGCUGGCGGCGUGCUUAACACAUGCAAGUCGAGCGAUGAAGUUUCCUUCGGGAAACGGAUUAGCGGCGGACGGGUGAGUAACACGUGGGUAACCUGCCUCAUAGAGUGGAAUAGCCUUCCGAAAGGAAGAUUAAUACCGCAUAAUGUUGAAAGAUGGCAUCAUCAUUCAACCAAAGGAGCAAUCCGCUAUGAGAUGGACCCGCGGCGCAUUAGCUAGUUGGUGGGGUAACGGCCUACCAAGGCGACGAUGCGUAGCCGACCUGAGAGGGUGAUCGGCCACAUUGGGACUGAGACACGGCCCAG
RNAcentral lists this ribosomal RNA (309 nucleotides) under uncultured bacterium. Its description in RNAcentral is "bacterial SSU rRNA". It matches the Rfam family "Bacterial small subunit ribosomal RNA", at positions 28 to 334 of the family's 1533-position model. The record is from RNAcentral.